GGAUUUCUGGCGGGAGCGGGUGGUCCGGCACUUAGUGUUGGUACUUUCCUGUCUCUUGCCAUCCUUGGGUCUAAGCUGUCUGGCAUUUAGUUGUCGGGCAGUGGCUGCCCAUCGUUUACUGUGAAAAAAUUAGAGUGUUCAAAGCAGGCUUAUGCCGUUGAAUAUAUUAGCAUGGAAUAAUAAGAUAGGACCUUGGUACUAUUUUGUUGGUUUGCGCACCGAGGUAAUGAUUAAGAGGGACAGUUGGGGGUAUUCGUAUUCAAUUGUCAGAGGUGAAAUUCUUGGAUUUCUGGAAGACGAACUACUGCGAAAGCAUUUACCAAGGAUGUUUUCAUUAAUCAAGAACGAAAGUUAGGGGAUCGAAGAUGAUUAGAUACCAUCGUAGUCUUAACCAUAAACUAUGCCGACUAGGGA
RNAcentral lists this ribosomal RNA (414 nucleotides) under Attheya sp. RCC5560. RNAcentral's name for it is "SSU rRNA". It matches the Rfam family "Eukaryotic small subunit ribosomal RNA", at positions 636 to 1052 of the family's 1831-position model. Lineage: Eukaryota; Bacillariophyta; Biddulphiophyceae; Attheyales; Attheyaceae. The record is from RNAcentral.